CUUGUCGUUGUCGAAGUGUAAAAUAGAUAAACAAAAGAACUAAGUUACCUCGUGCUGGAUAUAACUCCUUUUACUGGAACAAGAGUCGGCAAACAAAGGUUAUAAUUUGUUUUGCUGGAACAACAACGUAUUUGUUGUGAAGAUGAAGAUGUAGCAUCAACAUCCUCUGGCAUCUUAAAAGUGUUAAAAAUCCAAGUGCUCAUUGUACGUCAUAGAUUUUUAAUGUGCUUCUAAAUGCAUCAUCGAGCAGCCUUGAUCCAUUUAGAUAAAGUGUCUAGUUUGGGAUCAUCUCACUCGCACUUUUCGUCAUUUUCUCGCAAAGUCCAAAACUGCGUCCAUUCGUAACCUGAAAUUCUUCGUUUUUUGUUGAUGGGCCAGGGAAUUCUAUAUUUUGUACCUUUGGAUAACAACUCAUUUAGAUGUUCAUUGUUUACAAAGCCUUUUUCUCCUAGAAAAAAGAUGAAAGUUGAGGUUUGUGUGAAGUUUAGGAAUCUGAUCUAAAAAAUGGUUAUCAUCCUUUGUUGUGUUAUUACCAAAGGAGAGAAGAACGGAUUUGUGAUUUCUAAAUCCCAUCUUUUAUGAAUGAUGUAUAUGUGAUGGAUAUAUGUGAGAUUCGAAGUUUUGCUGUGAAUUCCAAUUCUUUAGUGAAUCAUAUGAAAAUGGUAAUAUUUCAGACUUUUUUUGGUGGAACAACAUAUUAUUUGUCGCGUAGAUGAGGCAUCCACAUCCUCUGGCGUCUUAAAAGUGUUAAAAACCCGCGUGUUCAUUGUACAUCGUAGAUUUUCAAUGUGCUUCUGAAUGCAUCACCGAUCAGCUUUAAUCCCUUUAGAUAAAGUGUCCAGUUUUUGACCAUCUGACUCGCACUUUACGAGUUUUCUUGCAUAGUCCACAACUUCAUCCAUUCAUUACCUGAAAUUCUUCUUUUAAUUGAUGGGCAAAGGAAUUCUGUAUUUUGGAACUUUGGAUUACAACUCUCUUAGAAGUUCAUUGUUUACAAUGCCUUUGUCUACUGUAAGUAUACUGCUAAUACAAUAGUUUCAUUUAUUUUAUAAUGUACAUCUUUUGAACAUUUGGUUUUUCUUUAACAUUUGAGAAACAAGAAUAUACUUGAUAUUAUGUAUGUCCUGAGUUAUAGUUUCGUGGUAAAUGAUACGUCCUAGUUAAUUCCUCUGCAUAAUCUCGACGAUUUACUUAAACGCAUGAAAAGCUGCUUUUAACAACAAUUGACUUCUACAUCGACAUAGGAACAUGAAAAACAUUAAAAAUAUAAUAAACGUAAUACAUCACACUUCAGCUUGAACACCAACGGAUUUUGGUGUAGAUAUAAAAAAGAUGGCAUCACAAUGACACCAUUUCAUUUCAGCGUGAUUAAUUCCGAAUUUCAGCGUCAUUCUAUCGUACUUCAACGUGAUACAUGGGUUUAGAACGACCAUUGCGGUACAAAAUCAUAUAUAUUUUCAAUUACCUCCUAGAAAUAUGCAAACAGUUUCAAACAGUACAGUGUGACAGUAGUUUUAUCAAAUAUAGCUGCAUUGUUCAUUGUAUAUUAUGAAAAUGUAUAGAUGAAAAUAGGGGAAAAAUGACUUUAGAAAUUUGUUUUAAAUACGUUAUUUUCCUCUGCCAUCUUCAUUCAUAUAUAUUUAUGAGAUAAGAAACAGAAGACAAUUUCAGUUCUUGUGGUUUUUUCAACUGUACUUGCUUUUAGAAACAGCAAAUUAAAGUGAAAUGAAAGGUAGCACCAAAUAAACUAUAAAAUUGAGGAGAAGUGGUAUGAUUGCCAAUGAGACAACUACCCACAAAAGUUAAAAGGAAGCGGAUGUAAGCAAUUAUUGGCCAUUGUACGGAAUUCAACAAUUAGAAUCACCCAUGCCGUACAGUCAGGCACUGCCAUGAAAAAUAUAAAACAAUUCAAUUGAGAAAAAUAACGGCCUUAUUUAUAACAAAACAAUUUACGAAAAACAAAUAAGAUAAAUAUGACUAGCCUGCUUUUAGAGAAUUAAAUUAAUAAUACUUAAAAAAGCAACAAAAAUGCAUUUUUUACGUGACAUAGCAAAAAACAAAAAGGAAAACACAAUGGUGGAUUAUAAACUAGUUUAUGUUUAUCUUAAAUGGAGGAAAGUUUUUGAAAUCGUAGAAUACCAUGACCAGAUCUGAAGCAAAUCGGUUACACGUUUUUAUGAAAACGUAUUUCCAAUUGAUCGUUUUGAAAAAAAAUGUUCACAUUAAGGUAGUGAAAUUUCGUUCGUUUUUCGUUAAUUAAUAUUGAUAUGUGACCAUUUGUAUGUACUUAAUCCAGUGCAGUUAAAUCUUACAAUCAAUUUUCGUUAUAGCAUCAAGAAGAGAAACGUUUAUUCACACACGUGUAAAUCAAUGAGUUCUUGUAUUAAUAAUUCGCGUUAUUAUUACUAGAUAUAAUACUGUAAUGUAUUUGAUAUGUAUAAAAUGUAGUAUUGAAGGUUAUUGUGAGUAGUACACGUAGGCCGUGUUUCCUUUGAGGAAAAGUCCGUGUGGCGUAAGUAUACUCAAAACUUAAACUAAUCUUUAUUACGUUGUUAUUUUUGAAAAUAAAUGUUUACAUGUAGUUUAAAUCAGGUUUUGACUACAUGCAGUCGAUAGUCAAUGUAGACCUUGUGGGAGUAAAUCGUUGAUAAAACAGGAUAUUAAGAGCGUGGAUUUUAUCACUGAAUAUUCAAAGAAGUUACAUAUAUUGAAUAAAAAUAAUUAUCUUUAUGUCAAAAAAAAAAAAAAAAAAUCUCAAUAAUUAAUGCUUGCAUGAUUAACUUUAAAUAGUUUUUGUUGACCAUUUGAUUUUCAGUCAGAGGGGGAUUUUUUGCUGAUGGAAUAUUUAUUUUACACCUGUUUUACAGAGCUUAUUUAUUUAGUGCGAACAAUAAUUUUCAAGCUUGGAACACAACUAUUUCUUGCAAUGUCCUGCCUAAAAUAGCACAAACUAUUCAAAACAGAUUUUUGAAUAAAUAUUCUGGACUUGCGCAGUCAAGAAUGUUCAUUUCUAAAAUUACCUAUGGUGACUGGUGACUAGAAAUAUGGUCUCUUAGGAUUCCCUAAAGGUACCGACCAUUUAUUUUCGUAGGACAAACAGUUUUUUUAUGACUUUAAAAAAAAAACGUUUUUUUUAAUAACAUAUAUAGGAAUUUUUUUUUAACUCCAUUAUGAAUCCCCUCGCCCUUCAUUUUCAAUGGAAUCAAACAAUUUUUCACAAUCCACUCCAGUUUCCCCUCAAAAUAUUGGAGUUCCAACAAUGUAUCUUAUAUAUGUAUCUAUAUUAUUUUUUGCGACUGUCAUACAAGUGAGAGAUUUAGCUAGCUAUAAGACCAGGUUUAAUUCACCAUUUUCUACAUAAGAAAAUGCCUGUACCACGUCAGGAAUAUAACAGUUGUUAUCCAUUCGUUUAAUGUGUUUGAGCUUUUUAAUUUGCCAUUUGCUUAGGGACUUUCCGUUUAGAAUUAUCCUCGGAAUUCAGUAUUUUUGUUAUUUUUCUUUUUACUUGUGUUAACAAUUAUCAUGUACAGGUAAUCAACACCAACGUACAGAUGAGAACAAAUUUUAUGUGAAACCAAUGCUCAUUACAUGAAACUAAUUAUAAACAGGUUUACAGUACGCGAUGUUUUGGUGUGAACACGGUCUUACAUUGGAUCUUUUUUGUCUAGGACAUAUAAUAUAAUUAUUUUAUAUUUAGACGGACGUAGUGAGGGAGAAUAUAAUAGGCAAUCAAGUCCCCGUUUCAGAAUCUAAUGCCUUCUUGGUACUUCAUGUCGUACACCAAAACAUUGCAAUAUGUUGUUAACGUCAUAAACAACGGAAGGUGAAUUAAUUGAAUGACGUUAUUUCAAUUUUGGGGUAACAACAAUGAAAUUAUCCAUAGUCCUUUGUAUUUUGAAACGGUGAAUUGUAAAAUGGUUUAAGAAAAUAAAAGUCACUGCAUUUUGUGCAACGGAUAAAAAUAUUGAAAAGCUUGAUACAUAAAACGAAAAAACAUUCCUAACCAUACGUAUUCUUUUCAGAUUACUGUUGUAUUUAUCAAAGAAAAAAGAAAUUCUUUAUUUCUUCAACAGAAAAAAGAUAAAUAAAAGUUAAGUUACGAAGCCACAGAUCCUCAAAAAAGAUCGUCAGAAGACAUGUAAUGAAGAAUUAUCAGAUAUCGUAUGUUGUUUUAACAAGGAACAAGAGUCGGUAAAGAAAGCUCAUUUAUAUGUAUUGGAGUUUAGUGUGACGUCAAUUUUCACUGAACUAGUACACAUUUUUGUUAAGGAGCCAGCUGAAGCCCGUCUCCGGUUGCCGGAUUUUCUCGCUGUGUUGAAGACCCAUUGGUGGCCUUGGGCUGUUUUCUGCUCUUUUGUCCGGUUGUUGUCUCUUUGAAACAUUCCCCAUUUCCAUUCUCCAUUUAAUGUGUUCAUCUUUAAAUUGGAAAAUUGACGAAAUCUAAAGCCAAAACACUAUAGCAAUUAUAAUUGCAUUGUGAAUCCUGAUCUGAAUUUUGCAAAUCUUAAGGCAUAUACAAAAAAAGUUCAUAACGAAAAAUACAAAUACAUAUAAUCAAACUUAGUCAAAGUUAAUUGUAUACCAUAUUAUCGGAAUGUCUCGGAAAAUGUUAACGAUAUUGACCUACUCAGAACGAACAAGAAUUCCGUUCUAUUAUCAACAGGUAUUACAUAGUAAUUGCAAAUCGAUAAAGUAAUUUUGCUUAAAGUUUUAAUAAUCUGUAAAGAAUGAUGUAAACAUGAAAUUUGAAAAGAUAAAUUGUGUAAGGUUUCGUUGUGUUACAUAUUUAGAGGAGUUGUCCGAUGUGCAUAGAAGGAGGGGCUUACCCUGUCGACACAACUGUAUCUCUUCUUGAAGUUCAUGCGAUUGUUUGUUACUUUGAAUUAUAUUUCCUUAAUGAAUUUUUAUGAUUUGAAUAUCGGUAAACUUAUAUUGCCUCUAACUUACCAAGAUUUUUAAAAGCAAAAGGUGAUGAAAGAGGAUGGCAUGCGAAAAAUCCUAAUCCGUCUGAUGUGCAUGGCUGGUGAUGCAUGCAUAGCAUGAGGAACUUACCCUAUCGACCAUUUUACUCGAAAGCAAUGUCAUAUUGCAAAUCUUUUUCUGAAAUUCAAGGACAGUCACUUAAAACAUCCACCAAAAUCUGGAUGAAAAGUGCCUCAGCGCUUUUACUAACAAGUUAUUUCAAUUGACCGUCAGAAAAUAUGUAAACCUGAAGUUUCAAACAAUACACUGCAAAUAAAACUGAAUUGUUUGUUGAGGAGAAUGGUCACGAAAGCCUAAAGUUGGCCCUAUAAAUUGAACUUAGAAAUGAUAUAUGUAAAGACCUGUAUUUACGAUCUAAAGUAUGCUUUUAAUGUCUGUUGUUCCUAUUAACAAUGUUGACUGCUUUAAAUGUAUGAUAACUUACUUGCUAGCUUUUGGCCAAAUUGUCUGCUUUAUGCAUUUGUAAGGUAUUUUUCCUUUCAAAAAACAUACGCCACCCUAGUCGACCAAAAUAAAAUUGUUAUACAAAGAUGUAGGGACUCUGUGGGAUUCUGACGUUACCGACUUUAAAACUGUCACAAUUUUGGCAAAUCCUUUACUCCUUAUACUGAAAACAAAUAACUGCACAUCCAAAGAAGCCCUUCAAUAUUUUAUCAAGCAAUUACUCUACAACUAAUCAUCUUGUAUAAUUUUACCACAAAACAGAGGAUGAAGUCUGAUUUUGAAAAUUUUUUAGUAACAUUUGUCUUGUGAACGUCAAUGAUUUGCGACUCGCAUCGCAUCGCUAAUUUUAAGACACAAACAAAAAUUAAAAUAAAAAAAAAAAAAAAAACAGAAUAUUCAGCAUUUUAUGGCUUCAAUCGUUAAAGACAUGUAGAAAAUCGAGAUAAUGGUUUUAAGCGACAAAAAGUGCAUUUAUUUCAAAUUAAUUGAAAAAUCUAGUCUUCUGUGUAAUAUUUCGUAUUUUAUACCAGUCUCAUUCAAUUCUACAGACUUAAAAAAUUCAAAUCAUGUCUUUCGUUUAGAAAAGUUUGUUUUGAUACAAAAACCGAUUUUCAUUUUAAGAUUGGUCAAUCACUAGAAACAAAACAUAGUUACAGCAUCUAUUUUUGCCAUAAUAACGUCCGUCUAUUUCUAUCUGAAAAAGCGAAAAAGAAAGAAGCAUUGUUCAUGUCAAUUUCGUAUUUCAAGAAAGCAUGUUUUUAACCUUACUUAAAAUUAUUAGUUUUUUGACAGGUGCCUUAUUUCGAACGGCAACUAUUAAAAGCAUAUUCAUGACAACAAUGUGUCAAUGUGAAGCUAAUGUUACACUGCUUCUACUCUAGAAUUUGCAAAAGUAAGCUUACUAUACAAAUCAUUGUUCUACUAGAACAACCUAGAGAGUCGAGUGUUUAACAUGUUAGCCAACAAGGUAACAACGAGCAGGCAGAACUGUGAUCCAUCUGCGCACACAAUGAUGAUUCCGAGCUAAUAACCAGACUUCGCCCAGAUUCCGAUAAAAUUUAUAAUUUUGCAUGGCCCUAAUAGUAAAGUUUUUUUCAACGGACCGUCGACUGAAAUCACGACCCCAUCCCUUCUCGCGACAGGUAACAAUCAUUCAUCCCAAAUCGACUAUUCAUAUGCACGAUCCAUUUUUUGUUUUGUCAAUUCCAUCGAGGUGUCGAUUAUAAUUGUUAACGAUAAAGAUAAAAAAAAAAUGCCUAUUCCAUAAAAAAUGCUAAUUACGUUUCUUUAUACGAAAUAAACAUAAAUUAAGUUUAUGGGUUUUUCUUCUUUUCUUUUAAUUUUGGAAAAUUUAAUGUAGCUGACAAUUUUUUUUAAAGAAUCCGAUCGAAUAAGAACUUGCCAAAUUGCAUAUACCCCUGACUACGGUUGAACAACUUUUUGGAAAUGUAACGACUUACUCUAAGCAUUUUUGUGUCAUUGAGUCGAUGCCUCAUUUACGUAUACCAUACAUCUUCUUUAAUUCAUAUUUCAAAGACCAGGAAUAAAUAGA
Molecule: long non-coding RNA, 6979 nt
Organism: Mytilus californianus (California mussel)
Lineage: Eukaryota; Metazoa; Mollusca; Bivalvia; Mytilida; Mytilidae
Exons: 8
Source: RefSeq, a predicted model, not a curated record